GACGUAGGGCGCGAGCGUUGUCCGGAUUUAUUGGGCGUAAAGAGCUCGUAGGCGGCUUGUCGCGUCGUCCGUGAAAACUUGGGGCUCAACCCCAAGCUUGCGGUCGAUACGGGCAGGCUAGAGUUCGGUAGGGGAGACUGGAAUUCCUGGUGUAGCGGUGAAAUGCGCAGAUAUCAGGAGGAACACCGGUGGCGAAGGCGGCUCUCUGGAACGCAACUGACGCUGAGACGCGAAAGCGUGGGGAGCGAACAGG
Molecule: ribosomal RNA, 253 nt
Filed under: uncultured bacterium
Lineage: Bacteria
Description: partial 16S ribosomal RNA
Rfam family: Bacterial small subunit ribosomal RNA
Source: RNAcentral